GACGAACGCUGGCGGCGUGCCUAAUACAUGCAAGUCGAACGCAGUGGGGACGGGUGAGUAACACGUGGGUAACCUCCCAUCAGAGGGGAUAACACUUGGCAACAGGUGCUAAACCGAUACUGAUGGAUGAACCCGCGGGGCAUUAGCUAGUUGGUGAGGUAACGGAUCACCAAGGCCACGAUGCAUAGCCGACCUGAGAGGGUGACCGGCAACACGUGGCCUGGGACACGGCCCAGACUCCUACGGGAGGAAGCAGUAGGGAAUCUUCGGCAAUGGACGAAAGUCUGACCGAGCAACGCCGCGUGAGUGAAGAAGGUUUUCGGAUCGUAAAACUCUGGUGUUAGAGAAGCGGUAUCUAACCAGAAAGCCACGGCUAACUCCGUGCCAGCAGCCGCGGUAAUUC
Molecule: ribosomal RNA, 403 nt
Filed under: uncultured bacterium
Lineage: Bacteria
Description: partial 16S ribosomal RNA
Rfam family: Bacterial small subunit ribosomal RNA
Source: RNAcentral